UACGUAGGGUGCGAGCGUUGUCCGGAAUUAUUGGGCGUAAAGGGCUCGUAGGCGGUUUGUCGCGUCGGGAGUGAAAUCCACUGGCUUAACUGGUGGCUUGCUUUCGAUACGGGCAGACUGGAGGCAUGCAGGGGAGAACGGAAUUCCUGGUGUAGCGGUGAAAUGCGCAGAUAUCAGGAAGAACACCAAUGGCGAAGGCAGCUCUCUGGGACGGUACUGACGCUGAGACGCGAAAGCGUGGGGAGCGAACAGG
RNAcentral lists this ribosomal RNA (253 nucleotides) under uncultured bacterium. Its description in RNAcentral is "partial 16S ribosomal RNA". It matches the Rfam family "Bacterial small subunit ribosomal RNA", at positions 524 to 776 of the family's 1533-position model. The record is from RNAcentral.